Molecule: long non-coding RNA, 178 nt
Organism: Alosa sapidissima (American shad)
Lineage: Eukaryota; Metazoa; Chordata; Actinopteri; Clupeiformes; Clupeidae
Exons: 3
Source: RefSeq, a predicted model, not a curated record
UGUGUGUGUGUGUAUAUACACCUGGCAGCAUGGCGAUCAUGUUGACGCGGCUCUGCUGGAAGGUGUGUGUGUGUGUGUGUGUGUGUACCUGGCAGCAUGGCGAUCAUGUUGACGCGGCUCUGCUGGAAGGUGUGUGUGUGUGUGUGUGUGUGUGUGUGUGUACCUGGCAGCAUGGCGA